CUCGUAGGCGGUCUGUUGCGUCGGGAGUGAAAACUUACAGCUUAACUGUGGGCGUGCUUCCGAUACGGGCAGACUUGAGGUAUUCAGGGGAGAACGGAAUUCCUGGUGUAGCGGUGAAAUGCGCAGAUAUCAGGAGGAACACCGGUGGCGAAGGCGGUUCUCUGGGAAUAUCCUGACGCUGAGGAGCGAAAGUGUGGGGAGCGAACA
Molecule: ribosomal RNA, 207 nt
Filed under: uncultured bacterium
Lineage: Bacteria
Description: partial 16S ribosomal RNA
Rfam family: Bacterial small subunit ribosomal RNA
Source: RNAcentral